RNAcentral lists this ribosomal RNA (553 nucleotides) under Alexandrium tamarense. Its description in RNAcentral is "eukaryotic LSU rRNA". The stretch from base 233 to 387 matches the Rfam family "5.8S ribosomal RNA". The record is from RNAcentral. Lineage: Eukaryota; Dinophyceae; Gonyaulacales; Pyrocystaceae.
ACAUUUUAGAGGAAGGAGAAGUCGUAACAAGGUUUCUGUAGGUGAGCCUGCAGAAGGCUCAUUUGCACAUGUGUAGCCAACUGCAUGCUAAUGAUAUUGUGGGCAACUGUAAGCAUGUAUUGCAAUGGACUUGCACUUGCCCUGGGCAGCAUGAUUUGUUUUUCAAGCAUGUGUGCUGUAGCGUGUGAUGUGUUGUGUAAACUGUUUGCAUUUCUCUAGUUGCUGCAACACUUAUGUUUUGCAAGGAAUGUCUUAGCUCAAUAAAUGAUGAAGAAUGCAGCCACAUGCAAUAUGCAUUGCGAAUUGCAGAAUUCCGUGAGCUAACAGAUGUUUGAAUGUUACUUGUACCUUUGGGACAUUCUUGAAGGUUUGCUUGGUUUAAUGCAAAGUAGCUUUCAUAUACAGUUAAUGCUGAUUAGCAUUGUUGUGAACAAUAAAGGUCAAUGUUUUGCAUUGAACCUGGAUGUCAUACAGUUGUUUACAACCUAAACAUGGUUUCGUGGGGCAGACCUGUUUCGUCAUUUGAUGGUUGAUAUUUGUAAAUGUGCACAAC